CAGGACAUAGCUAGGGAGUAAGCUACUCUUUUACACGGAGUGAAGGUUUGUGCAACUCAAACUGUCUUGA
Molecule: transfer RNA, 70 nt
Filed under: Apostichopus japonicus (Japanese sea cucumber)
Lineage: Eukaryota; Metazoa; Echinodermata; Holothuroidea; Aspidochirotida; Stichopodidae
Description: tRNA-Val
Source: RNAcentral